CUUACUUGCCAUUUCUCUAAACUAAAAAGCUCCAAAAGUUAUAACGAAAGGUUAUAACUUUUGGAGCUUUUUAGUUUAGAGAAAUGGCAAGUAAG
Non-coding RNA from Podarcis lilfordi (Lilford's wall lizard), 95 nucleotides. The record is from the annotation of a GenBank genome assembly. Lineage: Eukaryota; Metazoa; Chordata; Lepidosauria; Squamata; Lacertidae.